UUAGAAGCAGCCAUCCUUUAAAGAUAGCGUAACAGCUCACUGGUCUAAACAAGCCGUCCUGCGCCGAAGAUGUAUCGGGGCUCAAACUAUGUACCGAAGCUGAGGAUUCACACGUAUGUGUGAGUGGUAGCGGAGCGUUCCGUAGGCCUGCGAAGGUGUACCGCGAGGUAUGCUGGAGGUAUCGGAAGUGAGAAUGCUGACAUGAGUAGCGACAAAGAGUGUGAGAAACACUCUCGCCGAAAGUCCAAGGGUUCCUCAGCAAGGCUAAUCCGCUGAGGGUGAGCCGGCCCCUAAGGCAAGGCCGAAAGGCGUAGUCGAUGG
Molecule: ribosomal RNA, 321 nt
Filed under: uncultured Pelagophyceae
Lineage: Eukaryota; Pelagophyceae
Description: partial Bacterial large subunit ribosomal RNA
Rfam family: Bacterial large subunit ribosomal RNA
Source: RNAcentral